Molecule: ribosomal RNA, 1244 nt
Filed under: metagenome
Description: bacterial LSU rRNA
Rfam family: Bacterial large subunit ribosomal RNA
Source: RNAcentral
UGAAUACGAGACGCUAAGGCGUCGAAGUAGUGUAUGUCAUACUUCCAAGAAAAGCUUGCACUGUCAUAGAUAAAAAACGCCUGUACCAUAACCGACACAGGUGGGUAGGUAGAGUAUACUAAGGGGCGCGAGAUAACUCUCUCUAAGGAACUCGGCAAAAUAACUCCGUAACUUCGGGAGAAGGAGUGCCUUAUUCGUAAGGUUGCAAUAACAAGAUCCAAGCAACUGUUUAUCAAAAACACAGGUCUCCGCUAAGUCGUAAGACGAUGUAUGGGGGCUGACGCCUGCCCAGUGCCAGAAGGUUAAAGAAGUUGGUUAGCAAUUGCGAAGCUGAUAACUGAAGCCCUGGUGAACGGCGGCCGUAACAAUAACGGUCCUAAGGUAGCGAAAUUCCUUGUCGGGUAAGUUCCGACCCGCACGAAAGGCGUAAUGAUUUGGAUACUGUCUCGGAGAGGGGCUCGGUGAAAUAGACUUGUCUGUGAAGAUGCGGACUACCUGCACCAGGACAGAAAUACCCUAUGAAGCUUUGCUGUAACUUGAAAUUGAAAUUGGACUUUAUUCGCGCAGUAUAGGUGGGAGGCGUUGAUUAUAAUCUUGUGGGAUUAUUGGAGCCAUCAGUGAGAUACCACUCUUGUAAUGUUAGAUUUCUAACUUUGAAUCAUUAUCUGGUCAAAGAACAGUUUCAGGCGGGCAGUUUGACUGGGGCGGUCGCCUCCUAAACGGUAACGGAGGCGUACAAAGGUUUCCUCUGAACGGUUAGAAAUCGUAUCUAGAGUGUAAAGGCAUAAGGAAGCUUGACUGUGAGACCUACAAGUCGAGCAGGGACGAAAGUCGGUCUUAGUGAUCUGACGGUACUGAGUGGAAAGGCCGUCACUCAACGGAUAAAAGUUACUCUAGGAUAACAGGCUGAUCUCCCCCAAGAGUUCACAUCGACGGGGAGGUUUGGCACCUCGAUGUCGGCUCAUCGCAUCCUGGGGCGGUAGUACGUCCCAAGGGUUGGGCUGUUCGCCCAUGAAAGCGGUACGCGAGCUGGGUUCAGAACGUCGUGAGACAGUUCGGUCCAUAUCCGGUGUAGGCGUUAGAAUAUUGAGAGGAGCCUUCUUUAGUACGAGAGGACCGAGAAGGACAUACCUCUGGUGUACCAGUUAUCGUGCCAACGGUAAACGCUGGGUAGCUAUGUAUGGAGUGGAUAACCGCUGAAAGCAUCUAAGUGGGAAGCCCACCUCAAGAUAAGUAUUCUCAUC